GGGGAGGAUUCGAUGGAGCACCUCCAAGCAUUAAUGACUGCUGAACAGAUGGAUGUAAAAUUUGCGAAGGGACUCCUGGCAUACUAGGAUGUCGCACCAUUGGAAGAAGUGGAUUGGGUGAAGCUAGAGAAACAGUACGUAAGCUUCCGUGUCAGGAUGGCGUGACGUUUGAAAAGUAGAAGACACAAGACCUUGUUGUAAAAUGUCUACUGUCACAUAAACCCAAUCUUUUAUGUUAACACACAUUUAACAUUUUACCACUCUCUUGUUGUAUGGUCUUCAUCGGAAAUGUGCCUGAAUAAUUUAAAAAUAAAAUGAUUGCUUUUUAACGAAAUAAAAUUUCUUACCUUGUGCGUUUAGCGUUUUACAUUCAGCCUUUUGAUUUUCCUACGAAAUAAAAACAAUUCAACUGUUCUUCAGAAUGUUGCAACCGUUUACCAUGUCUCCCUGAAGGUCACCAUGAAUUGUUGUAUUGGUAGACGCAUCUGGAAAACCAGUUGGUUUCGGACCUUCCUUUAUCCAUGGUGAUGAAGCAGGAACAGUACUACUAGUC
Hylaeus volcanicus is the source of this 553-nucleotide long non-coding RNA. RefSeq lists it as uncharacterized. NCBI's taxonomy places the organism in Eukaryota, Metazoa, Arthropoda, Insecta, Hymenoptera, Colletidae. The record is from RefSeq and is a predicted model, not a curated record. The transcript has 3 exons.